UCCUCCCCCUCCCUUCCCUGCCAGCCAGCCUGCCUGCAGCAGAUGGUUGGUUGGUUGGUCGGGGGCCCGUGCCGAGCCCGAGUCCCCUCCUCCCCCCCAGAUCGGUGGUACCCUCCCGGUCUGGCGUGUGUUGGUCGGGGGACUUGGUGACAAAACCGAUGGCGCAAUGCACCAACACCUUCAAAAUAUGACUGAGUAUGGAAAAAAACCGGGGGGGGGCACGCACGCGCGCCCCCCCCGAGUUGUGAAAAUAAACAAGAACAACUCUCAGCAACGGAUAUCUUGGCUCCUGCAACGAUGAAGAACGCAGCGAAAUGCGAUACGUAGUGUGAAUUGCAGAAUUCCGCGAAUCAUCGAGUCUUUGAACGCAAGUUGCGCCCGAGGCUUGCCCUGGGGCAUUUCUGUCAGAGCGUCACCGCGACACCCACCGACCCCCACUCCCUCUUGGAUGAAUGAGUGGGGGCCGAGUGAAAGUGGCCAUCCGAGCGUCUCCUCCUCCUCCUCCAAUGGUGGAGAGAGAGAGAGAGGCGCUGGGUUGGCUGAAAUGGAGGGAAUUCUGUGCCGCCGUGGCGACACGGCCCGCGAUCAGGUGAUCCAAGUCUCGUUUCUUGGAACUCAAUGCGUGUUGGCCGUGUUCCGUCCCCCCCACACUACAG
Molecule: ribosomal RNA, 656 nt
Filed under: Grimmia orbicularis
Lineage: Eukaryota; Viridiplantae; Streptophyta; Bryopsida; Grimmiales; Grimmiaceae
Description: eukaryotic LSU rRNA
Rfam family: 5.8S ribosomal RNA (bases 263-415)
Source: RNAcentral